UUGGUCAAAAUUCAAGAAUUUGGUCAAAAUAAAAAGAUGAUGGUAUGAUUCCAAAUCAUAAUGGUAGGAUGAAUUAGGAUACCCUCAAAGCUCGUACGAUCAUUCCAAAUCAUCAACACACGAGAAAUCAAAGCAAACGGCGAUUGAUUUGGGCUGCUCCGCUCAAGAAAUCAACUCGCCGCCUCACCAUUUCCGUCCUUGUUUCACUGCUCGCCGACUUGCCACUGCCCUACCGGUCACACCAUUGUCAUUGCCACAGAUUCGCGAUCUGAUUCUUCGUCAACGCCGUCUGACACCAGUCACUCAACUCUAUUAUAUCUUGAGAAGUAACAUCUUGAACCUUUCUACUUUAGCACUAAAACUCAGAAUAAACCCUAGUUUCAGAAUAAUAUCAUUGAAUUGUUUGCUUGUUAUUUCUGAUUUCUGAACAAUAACUUCUGAGAUGAAUGUCUUUCCCUGUUCUAUUACAAUAGUUUCUGAUUUUACUUAGUUUCUUUGUAGUUUCGACUUCAUAUAAGCACAUACCCUAAUUAGAAACAUAAAUUCUAUGUGCAAAUAAUGAUACCGUUGGAAAUGAAUGCAACCCUUGAAUUCUUCAUCGGAAAUGAAAUUGUAAGCCUUAAGAAUAUUGGGGAUGUUUCUAUUCCCUAAUUGUGAAUGAGUAGCAAUGAUUACAAUGUGAGUUAAUAGUGGUCUUUAGGCUAUAUUUUUUAUAAUACAGCUUUAGGGGUUUGUUUUAGAACACUUUGAAAAACAAAAUAUGUGUUCCAAUGGUAUCUAGCACUACCUGUGUUAAUAGCUUGUAGAUCAUUUACCAAAGAAGCUUUUAACUAAAUGGUUUCAAGCAUUCUGUCAUUUUUACUAUGAAAACAUAAUAAUUGCAUGUUCUCAUUUGUCUAUAAAACUCCAUCUGGUUUGCAGAACAUUUCAUUUGUUACCAUUUGUCUUAUUUACUACACACUGUAAUUUUGUCCUUCAGAUCCUACCUGUAACUGCUUAUUUAUCUAAUCCUGCCCACCAUAUGCUUUCUUAUCACUUCCAUAAUAAGUACUAGUUGCAGAAUACCCGUUUUGGUUGACCUGGUCCCGUUCUUGAGAAUUAUAUGCCUCCAAAGAGUACCAUUAUUGAGUGUUCAUGUCAUAAUACCAACCAGGGUUGUGGGGAUCAAAAACCAUAUUUGAUGGAUACCCAUUGUUUUCUUGUGAAGCCUGAUCCCAUGAUAAACUCUCAUUAGUAUUCUGGAAUUCUGGAUCAUGAUUCACAGUUUGAAUCUCUUUUUCAUCUUUAGAUGAAGAAUCCCUGCUCAAGUUAAUAGAAUUAGCUUCAGAUAAAACUUCUACUUUGUUAUUUUGUUAUAAAUUUCAUAUUCUCUGUUGACAUCUAGGAAUUUCUCCUUAUGGGAGAGUAGGUUCUCAAGCCUUUAGCAAAUCAUUAGGUUUAUGCUUUGAUGUUAUUGUUAUUAGAUUUAAGGGGUAAAAUCAGUUGUUUGUAAUACUUCAUAAUUUUGUAGGUUGGUAACAAAUUAUUCAAUGGAUAAAUCAUGGAUUUCCUCGAAUGGAUUAACAAAUGCAUAUGACGAAGGUGUGGAGGAUUUUUUAACCUUUACACAAAAUAAUAAUGUAAAAUCAGAUGUAAUUUCGUGUCCUUGCAUAAAUUGUAUGAAUUUGUGCCAUCACUCAAUUCCAGCUGUGCGUUAUCAUUUGUUUUCAAAUGGAUUUGAUGAAGGAUAUAAAGUUUGGACUUUCCAUGGGGAAAAUCCCGAAAGAGGCCCUAAUAAAUUUGUUCUUCCCGACUUUGAUCAUACAAAAGAUAUGCUAGAUGAUGCCUUCUUCACAGAUGUAGAAGAAGAACCCGAUUCAUUGAAAACACUUCUUGAAGAAUGGAUAAAAUGGUCAGGUAACUCGUUGCUAAUGACAUUAAACCCGGGCAAUUUUGAGAUCCAUCAACGGCUUGGAUCGGCCUUAUGGAAAAUGGAGGAUUGUGAUUGGAAGUGAGAUCAAUGGUCAUGGAACCACACUAUUGUACCAUAGUAGAAAUGGUACUUGUAUGAAGAAAUCAAGAAUGGAGGAAAACAGAUCAUGGAAUCUGUUUUGUGAGCCCGAGUGCAAUCUCUAAAGAUGGGCGUACGGACAACUUCAAGAAAAGUGAUGAAGCAAGUGAAGUCAUAGCAUGUCGGCUGUCCCAAGUGCAAGAAAUAGCAAUGUACUUCAUUGUUUCUUAUAUUUAAGCUUCCUUUACCAUUAAUAACUAGAAUGGUUAUUAGGUGCUAACAAUACUAGACAUGCAAACAACAACAUGCUAUUACCUUAAUUCGCUAAGGUGCCUUGUUGUUGAUCCAGACUUAAAGCAGAUGAUUGAAGCAUAAAGCAUUUUCUUUGCACGCAAGACAAAGUGGAUCAAAGAAAAAGGUUAAAGCCAACUGGAUAAAUGUUAUGAGUGUCCCUUUCAUCCUGGUUACAUGUUCUUAAGUUCAUGAAAGAGGUUGUUGACGAAGGACUUGAAGUGUUGAAUAACAAUUUUUGGGGGAAGAAUGAAUAUACAGACGUCGAGCUUGAUAGGGUGCGUGAAGAAUGGGCUACUUAUGUCAUAAAUUUUCUUUCCUAGUGAUAUGAAUUUGACAGUUACUUUUUGAUGAAUUUGGACCGUAUUUUUGAAUUUGACACUAUAAUUCGUGUAAGCCUUUUAAUAUAUGUAUGAUGUUUUAUUUUAUGUUAUUAGACAUUAAAUAUGUAAUUUAGUUUGGUUAA
Molecule: long non-coding RNA, 2747 nt
Organism: Lactuca sativa (garden lettuce)
Lineage: Eukaryota; Viridiplantae; Streptophyta; Magnoliopsida; Asterales; Asteraceae
Source: RefSeq, a predicted model, not a curated record